ACGAGGGUGGACGAGGUGGUGCAUGGUUGUCGUCAGCUCGUGUCGUGAGAUGUUGGGUUAAGUCCCGCAACGAGCGCAACCCUCGACCUUAGUUGCCAGCAUUCAGUUGGGCACUCUAAGGUGACUGCCGGCUAAAAGUCGGAGGAAGGUGGGGAUGACGUCAAAUCAUCAUGCCCCUUAUGACCUGGGCUACACACGUGCUACAAUGGGCGGUACAAAGGGUCGCGAACCCGCGAGGGGGAGCCAAUCCCAAAAAGCCGCUCUCAGUUCGGAUUGCAGGCUGCAACUCGCCUGCAUGAAGCCGGAAUCGCUAGUAAUCGCGGAUCAGCAUGCCGCGGUGAAUACGUUCCCGGGCCUU
This 358-nucleotide ribosomal RNA is filed under the name uncultured Anoxybacillus sp. Its description in RNAcentral is "bacterial SSU rRNA". It matches the Rfam family "Bacterial small subunit ribosomal RNA", at positions 1023 to 1382 of the family's 1533-position model. The record is from RNAcentral. Lineage: Bacteria; Bacillati; Bacillota; Bacilli; Caryophanales; Anoxybacillaceae.